AUGGGUUAGUUAGAUAACAAGAAACAAACUCAUACACAAAUUAACGAUACUUACAACCAAGGAGAUAGCAAAAAAAGUCAUGGCCUAUAUUGCGAAAAUAGAUAAGGUAAGUGCAAAAACAUGUAACAGAAAAAUUUAUUGCAAAAGUUGGAAGCCUCAAGAACGAACAAUGGUAAAAAUAAAUUAUGACACUGUCUAUCAAGCCCAUUCGCUAAAUUCAUGUACGAGGUUGGUGGCUAGAGACUUAAGCGAACAUGUGAUUGGAAUCCAAACAAUAAAAAAUGACUAUAUACCUUCGGUGUGUGCUAUCGAAGCUCUUGCAUGUAUCCAAGCUGUCAAUAUGGGAGCAGAGCUAAGGCUAAGAGAUCUGACCAUGGAAGGUAAUGCUCGAACAAUAGUUAAAAAACUGCAAGCAAACAAACCAAAUAAAUCACUAAUAAUGGCUUACAUUGCAGAUCUGAAAGAAAUGAGCAAAAUCUUUUGAACAUGCAAGUUUAAUUACACGCCAAGAUUCGAGAACAAGGUGGCACGCAUUUUAGCAAAAAAAGACUUUAAAAGAUGAAAGGUACACUUAUUUGGGAACUGAAAUGCUAGAAUUGGUGGCUGACGCAGUGGAGAGGGACAGACUACGAAUAAGAGGCGUAUAAAUAGAAGCAGAUCUGCUGGCGAUCGAGAUAGGAAGAAUAAUCGAACAGAAACGUUUUGUUGGGUCCGAUGGAGACCAACAUCUCUCAACAAAAAGAAGCUCAUUUCACUAGAGGUAAUAAUGUUAAAUGAAACCAAAUGACAGUGAUAAGAUAAUUUUUUUUGGGUCCGUUGGCAGCCAACAUUGAUCUACAGAAAAAACUAUUGUCUCGGCUACGAAACGAAACCAAACAGAGGAAAUCCAAAAGCGACAAAGAUAAAAACAGUUGAGGAAAGAUAUGUUACCACCG
Molecule: long non-coding RNA, 935 nt
Filed under: Gossypium raimondii (Peruvian cotton)
Lineage: Eukaryota; Viridiplantae; Streptophyta; Magnoliopsida; Malvales; Malvaceae
Description: long non-coding RNA (GRAI_LNC002576)
Source: RNAcentral